CUGAAAGGAGUUUCUAAAAGGAAAUACAAGUGGGGAGGUGCGGGAAGUCAAAGAACCAAGGAAAGAUUAGAAGGUUAAAUGAAAUUAUAAAUUUUUAAAUUUUUCUGUUUUAUUGUUAUUUUUUGUUCUCCUUUUGUUACUGUUAUUGUUGUUUUUUGUCUUUGAAAAUCUGUAUUUUUGUAUGUUUUGGAAUUUUUGUAAAACCAAUAAAUAUUAUAUUAAAAAAAAAAAAAAAA
Molecule: non-coding RNA, 236 nt
Organism: Podarcis lilfordi (Lilford's wall lizard)
Lineage: Eukaryota; Metazoa; Chordata; Lepidosauria; Squamata; Lacertidae
Source: the annotation of a GenBank genome assembly